Molecule: transfer RNA, 71 nt
Filed under: Oryza sativa Indica Group (long-grained rice)
Lineage: Eukaryota; Viridiplantae; Streptophyta; Magnoliopsida; Poales; Poaceae
Description: tRNA-OTHER
Source: RNAcentral
GCGCUCGUAGCGCAGUGGCAGGGUCGCUGGCACGCACCCCAUCGGCCCGGGUUCGAUCCUUGUCGAGCGCC